AAUAAAAAUUAAUGGUCGGUAAUUUCAUAAGAAAAAAGUUAUUAAUUGAAGGGUCAAUUGCAUACAGGUCCCUGCAAACAUAGUAAAUUGCAGAUAUAUCUCUGUAAAGUUCAACUUUUAUAAGUUAUCCGUACAAAAGUUCUAAUAUUUUUAAAUGUCCUUGCCGUUAGAAUCCGUUAGAAAAGUUUUGUUAACUAUAGGUUAAAUAUUUUACCCGGGUUAAUUUUUGAUAUUUUUACCUCUCUUAUAUUAUACUGUUAUAACUUUUGGACGGAUAUAUUUGUGAUAGCAAAAUUAAAAAUAUAAACAAUUUUUUAAUGGUUCUCUAAUAGUAACAAACCAGAGGGACAUAUUUGAAAAUAUUAGGACUUUAAGGGAUAACUUAUAAAAAUUGAACUUUACAGGGAUAUAUUUGCAAUUCAUUAUGUUUGUGGGGACCUGUAUGCAAUUAACCCU
RNAcentral lists this long non-coding RNA (456 nucleotides) under Ananas comosus (pineapple). Its description in RNAcentral is "long non-coding RNA (ACOM_LNC041526)". The record is from RNAcentral. Lineage: Eukaryota; Viridiplantae; Streptophyta; Magnoliopsida; Poales; Bromeliaceae.